UACGUAGGGGGCUAGCGUUAUCCGGAAUUACUGGGCGUAAAGGGCGCGCAGGCGGUAUAUCAAGUCAGCUGUCAAAGACUGGGGCUCAACCCUGGUAUGCGGUUGAAACUGAUAUGCUGGAGUGCUGUAGAGGCAAGUGGAAUUCCCAGUGUAGCGGUGAAAUGCGUAGAUAUUGGGAAGAACACCGGUGGCGAAGGCGACCUGCUGGGCAGCAACUGACGCUGAGGCGCGAAAGCCAGGGGAGCAAACGGGAUUAGA
Molecule: ribosomal RNA, 258 nt
Filed under: uncultured prokaryote
Description: partial 16S ribosomal RNA
Rfam family: Bacterial small subunit ribosomal RNA
Source: RNAcentral